This 1012-nucleotide long non-coding RNA is filed under the name Spirodela polyrhiza (greater duckweed). RNAcentral describes it as "long non-coding RNA (SPOL_LNC001235)". Lineage: Eukaryota; Viridiplantae; Streptophyta; Magnoliopsida; Alismatales; Araceae. The record is from RNAcentral.
AUUAUUAUUAGCUCCCUCGAGGUAAUCAUGCUCCGUGUUUCUAAAAUUGCAAAAGUCAAUCAUGAUCGGUCCAUUCAGCCUUCAACAUUGCAAAAGUCACACCCGCGAUUCUAAAGUUGGCAUGAAUUCUCUCCCGGCCAAUAAGUUUGGGGGAGAGAUUAAGCAGCAUUAAAGUUCCUCAAUCGGAGAUUAAGAGAAAUAAUGUAGGAACGAUAGUCGUGAGAGAUGUAGGCGAUCAGGUGGAGAAACCCAGGAGAAAAACAUAGAAUUGUACAAAAAUAGUGUUACAACGAAUCUCCUUCUCCCCGCCGUCGGCCGCCUUCUUCUCCAUCUGACUCUCCACUCUCUUCGCUCACUCACCAAACGAAUCUCCUCGUUCCCCCAGGCGAGAGAGAGAGAGAGAGAGAGAGAGAGAGAGAGUACNNNNNNNNNNNNNNNNNNNNAGAGAGAGAGAGAGAGAGAGAGAGAGAGACUUGGGGUUUUUGCUACAGUGGGGAGCCAUGGCGGCGUGAUGAAGCAACCAAGCUGGACUAGCCCCUCAGCGUCUGGAUGAUGGUGUUGUGCCAUGGGUCGGCCAGGUGCUGUGCCAGGUUCUCGAAGGGGCCCUUCCCCGUCACGUUGUGCUGGACAACAAAGCCUAAGAACGCCAGCAUCGCCAGUCUCCCUGCAACGAGUUGCCGAAAACAGAACAAACCCAAGUUCUUGAGAAAGCUCUAACAGGAGAGGGAGGAAGAGGGAGAGGGAGACGAAGCUCUCGAGGAUUAUCACCGUUAGCGAGCUCCUUCUCCUUGGCCUCGAGAGAGGGGGCGAAGUUGAGGGGGUUGAAGAUGCCACCGGGGUAGCCGACCUCGUUGGGGGGGAGGCUGUAGCUCUUGAAGAUGGGGUCCUGGUUGACGCUUCCUGGGUUCUUGAUGUCUUGCCAUCGCCGGAUCUCCACGUAGUGGAAGAGGAUGAACUCGAUCACAAAGAGCGUGGAAGAGGAGGCGAAGUACUCCUGCUUGCCGGCGUCGUA